GUGCCAGCCGCCGCGGUAAGACAGAGGAGGCGAGCGUUGCUCGGAAUUACUGGGCUUAAAGCGGGUGUAAGCGGCCGCGCAAGUGUCGUGUGAAAGCCCACGGCUCAACCGUGGAACAGCACGGCAAACUGCGUGGCUUGAGGUCGGCAGAGGUGGCUGGAAUUCUCGGUGGAGCGGUGAAAUGCGUAGAUAUCGAGAGGAACGCCGGAGGCGAAAGCGGGCCACUGGGCCGAUCCUGACGCUGAGACCCGAAAGCGUGGGUAGCAAACAGGAUUAGAUACCCUGGUAGUCCACGCCCUAAACGGUGGGCACUAGGUGUGGGGCUCGAGAGGGUUCCGUGCCGAAGGGAAACCAAUAAGUGCCCCGCCUGGGGAGUACGGCCGCGGGGUUGAAACUCAAAUGAAUUGACGGGG
Molecule: ribosomal RNA, 413 nt
Filed under: uncultured prokaryote
Description: bacterial SSU rRNA
Rfam family: Bacterial small subunit ribosomal RNA
Source: RNAcentral